RNAcentral lists this ribosomal RNA (808 nucleotides) under Neoroussoella entadae. Its description in RNAcentral is "partial large subunit ribosomal RNA". It matches the Rfam family "Eukaryotic large subunit ribosomal RNA", at positions 91 to 918 of the family's 3401-position model. Lineage: Eukaryota; Fungi; Ascomycota; Dothideomycetes; Pleosporales; Thyridariaceae. The record is from RNAcentral.
GAGUGAAGCGGCAACAGCUCAAAUUUGAAAUCUGGCCCUUUCAGGGUCCGAGUUGUAAUUUGCAGAGGGUGCUUUGGCGUCGGCCGUGGUCUAAGUUCCUUGGAACAGGACGUCACAGAGGGUGAGAAUCCCGUACGUGGCCGCCGGUCUUCGCCGUGUAAAGCCCCUUCGACGAGUCGAGUUGUUUGGGAAUGCAGCUCUAAAUGGGAGAUACAUUUCUUCUAAAGCUAAAUAUUGGCCAGAGACCGAUAGCGCACAAGUAGAGUGAUCGAAAGAUGAAAAGCACUUUGGAAAGAGAGUCAAAAAGCACGUGAAAUUGUUGAAAGGGAAGCGCUUGCAGCCAGACGUGCCCGCAGUUGCUCACCCAGGCUCUUGCCUGGGGCACUCUUCUGCGGGCAGGCCAGCAUCAGUUCGGGCGGUUGGAUAAAGGUCUCUAUCACGUACCACCCUUCGGGGUGUCCUUAUAGGGGAGACGCAACACGGCCAGCCUGAACUGAGGACCGCGCAUCAGCUAGGAUGCUGGCGUAAUGGCUGUAAGCGGCCCGUCUUGAAACACGGACCAAGGAGUCUAACAUCUAUGCGAGUGUUUGGGUGUAAAGCCCGGGCGCGCAAUGAAAGUGAACGGAGGUGGGAACCCUUUGGGUGCACCAUCGACCGAUCCUGAAGUCUUCGGAUGGAUUUGAGUAAGAGCAUAGCUGUUGGGACCCGAAAGAUGGUGAACUAUGCCUGAAUAGGGUGAAGCCAGGGGAAACCCUGGUGGAGGCUCGCAGCGGUUCUGACGUGCAAAUCGAUCGUCAAAUUUGGGCAU